CCUACGGGUGGCAGCAGUGGGGAAUAUUGGGCAAUGGAGGCAACUCUGACCCAGCAACGCCGCGUGAGCGAUGAAGGUCUUCGGAUUGUAAAGCUCUGUCGCAGGGGACGAAGUAUGACGGUACCCUGUAAGAAAGCCCCGGCAAACUACGUGCCAGCAGCCGCGGUAAUACGUAGGGGGCUAGCGUUGUCCGGAAUUACUGGGCGUAAAGGGAGUGUAGACGGCUUGACAAGUUAGGUGUGAAAGCCUGCGGCUUAACCGAAGAAUUGAACUUAAAACUGACUCGCGAGAGUGCAGGAGAGGUGAGUGGAAUUCGUGGUGGAGCGGUGAAAGGCGUAGAUAUAAGGAAGAA
Molecule: ribosomal RNA, 352 nt
Filed under: uncultured bacterium
Lineage: Bacteria
Description: partial 16S ribosomal RNA
Rfam family: Bacterial small subunit ribosomal RNA
Source: RNAcentral